RNAcentral lists this long non-coding RNA (1047 nucleotides) under Numida meleagris (helmeted guineafowl). Its description in RNAcentral is "lncRNA (ENSNMEG00000005884.1)". The record is from RNAcentral. Lineage: Eukaryota; Metazoa; Chordata; Aves; Galliformes; Numididae.
UUAGUGAUUAAUUCAGACAGAUAUUUAACUUAAUAAGGGGCUCCCGGAGGAACGCGCGCACAACCUUGGGGGAAUCCUCUGAGCAAGGGGCUGGGGGCUGGCUAUAAAAGCCAGAAAAGCGAUGCAGAGGGAAAGGCCGAUGGCAGGGCCAACCCCGGGGCUGUCGGCAGUGACACUGGAGGGGACGUUGCCUUGUGUUGUGCUGGGUCCCCCUCUCCCCGUGGGCCCCGCAUGGAGUGAGGAUGCUGGAUGGAGGAUGCUGGUGUCCUCCCGGCCCUACCAGUGCCGAUCGUUGCCUUUCCCAUGCCUUGACACCCUCUGGAUCCCCACACAAAGCGCCACGAGUGACCUUACCGGGGAACCUCUCCACGUGGCCCCAAGUCAAAGCUCACCUCCGCUCCACACACCGGAGCCAUUAAACCACAUUUGAGCCCAGGCAAAGUUACAAGUUGUUGCUGACCACAGUUUGUCUCGGCUCAGUGCGAUAUUUACUACGCAGCAUCCCGAAAUAGCCGGCAGCUGUGGGAGGGCUGGUCGCCGCUUCUCCUUCCCGAGGAAGGAGCUUGAACCCGAUGUCGGUGCCGGUGGUUUUUGCAGCAGUUGGGGAUUUUUAAACUCCUUUUCCUUUAAUUCUUUUCUUUCUUUAAUGGGUGACUGGAUAAAUUCAGCGGUGGAUUUUUGUGACACUAAAGCAGCAGAUAAGUCUAUGAUGCACUCUAGCUAUGUGGUUUAAAAAUCCCUUACCAUAUGUUUUCUCACUGGAAUGCCUCGUCUUGCAAAAUUACAGGAACCGAAGCUUAAAAACACAAUUAGGUAGUUUAAAAUGAAAUAUUAAAGAAAUACCACAUAUUUUCUGAUACGCCCGCGACACCGCUCCUCGCUUUUCUCCCCCCCCCCACCCUUUUCUUUUUGCUUUCUUUUGUAUUGUUCUUUGAGUUGCUCAAGAAGCCCAACUGCAUUCAAUUGUUGUACUAAUCAUGCUCCACAUUUUUCUGAUUAGGUUAUAUAGGCUGUGGUUAAAUUAUAAAUGAAAGAACGAACUACCCG